AGAGUUUGAUCCUGGCUCAGAUUGAACGCUGGCGGCAGGCCUAACACAUGCAAGUCGAGCGGUAACAGAUCUAGCUUGNUAGAUGCUGACGAGCGGCGGACGGGUGAGUAACGCGUAGGAAUUUGCCUAGUAGUGGGGGAUAGCCCAGAGAAAUUUGGAUUAAUACCGCAUACACUCUACGGAGAAAAGCAGGGGAUCUUCGGACCUUGCGCUAUUAGAUAAGCCUGCGUGGGAUUAGCUAGUUGGUGAGGUAAAGGCUCACCAAGGCGACGAUCUCUAGCUGGUCUGAGAGGAUGAUCAGCCACAUUGGGACUGAGACACGGCCCAGACUCCUACGGGAGGCAGCAGUGGGGAAUUUUGGGCAAUGGGGGAAACCCUGACCCAGCGACGCCGCGUGGGGGAUGAAGGUUUUCGGAUUGUAAACCCCUGUCAGGUGGGAAGAAGGACUCCUCGGAUAAUACCCGGAGGUUUUGACGUACCACCAAAGAAGCCCCGCUAACU
This 501-nucleotide ribosomal RNA is filed under the name uncultured bacterium. RNAcentral describes it as "bacterial SSU rRNA". It matches the Rfam family "Bacterial small subunit ribosomal RNA", at positions 8 to 502 of the family's 1533-position model. The record is from RNAcentral.